CGCGCAGGUGGUUUUUUAAGUCUGAUGUGAAAGCCCACGGCUCAACCGUGGAGGGUCAUUGGAAACUGGGAGACUUGAGUGCAGAAGAGGAUAGUGGAAUUCCAAGUGUAGCGGUGAAAUGCGUAGAGAUUUGGAGGAACACCAGUGGCGAAGGCGACUGUCUGGUCUGUAACUGACACUGAGGCGCGAAAGCGUGGGAGCAAACA
RNAcentral lists this ribosomal RNA (206 nucleotides) under uncultured bacterium. RNAcentral's name for it is "partial 16S ribosomal RNA". It matches the Rfam family "Bacterial small subunit ribosomal RNA", at positions 568 to 774 of the family's 1533-position model. The record is from RNAcentral.